GUGAACGCUGGCGGUCGGCCUAACCCAUGCCAGUCGAACGGCAGCACAGUAAGAGCUUGCUCUUACGGGUGGCGAGUGGCGGACGGGUGAGGAAUACAUCGGAAUCUACUUUUUCGUGGGGGAUAACGUAGGGAAACUUACGCUAAUACCGCAUACGACCUACGGGUGAAAGCAGGGGAUCUUCGGACCUUGCGCGAUUGAAUGAGCCGAUGUCGGAUUAGCUAGUUGGCGGGGUAAAGGCCCACCAAGGCGACGAUCCGUAGCUGGUCUGAGAGGAUGAUCAGCCACACUGGAACUGAGACACGGUCCAGACUCCUACGGGAGGCAGCAGUGGGGAAUAUUGGACAAUGGGCGCAAGCCUGAUCCAGCCAUACCGCGUGGGUGAAGAAGGCCUUCGGGUUGUAAAGCCCUUUUGUUGGGAAAGAAAAGCAGCAGGUUAAUACCCCGCUGUUCUGACGGUACCCAAAGAAUAAGCACCGGCUAACUUCGUG
This 491-nucleotide ribosomal RNA is filed under the name uncultured bacterium. RNAcentral's name for it is "partial 16S ribosomal RNA". It matches the Rfam family "Bacterial small subunit ribosomal RNA", at positions 29 to 507 of the family's 1533-position model. The record is from RNAcentral.